AUUGAACGCUGGCGGCAGGCUUAACACAUGCAAGUCGAGCGGUAACAGGUAUAGCUUGCUAUAUGCUGACGAGCGGCGGACGGGUGAGUAAUGCUUGGGAACUUGCCUUUGCGAGGGGGAUAACUACUGGAAACGGUAGCUAAUACCGCAUAAUACCUGAGGGUUAAAGGGGCUUUUGCUCUCGCGUGAAGAUAGGCCCAAGUGAGAUUAGCUAGUUGGUGGGGUAAAGGCUCACCAAGGCGACGAUCUCUAGCUGUUCUGAGAGGAAGGUCAGCCACACUGGGACUGAGACACGGCCCAGACUCCUACGGGAGCAGCAGUGGGGAAUAUUGCACAAUGGGAAACCCUGAUGCAGCCAUGCCGCGUGUGUGAAGAAGGCCUUAGGGUUGUAAAGCACUUUCAGUUGUGAGGAAGGGUUGUUGGUUAAUACCCAGCAACAUUGACGUUAGCAACAGAAGAAGCACCGGCU
Molecule: ribosomal RNA, 469 nt
Filed under: uncultured bacterium
Lineage: Bacteria
Description: bacterial SSU rRNA
Rfam family: Bacterial small subunit ribosomal RNA
Source: RNAcentral